Molecule: ribosomal RNA, 459 nt
Filed under: uncultured bacterium
Lineage: Bacteria
Description: partial 16S ribosomal RNA
Rfam family: Bacterial small subunit ribosomal RNA
Source: RNAcentral
CCUACGGGGGGCAGCAGUGAGGAAUAUUGGUCAAUGGGCGGGAGCCUGAACCAGCCAAGUCGCGUGAAGGAAGAAGGUACUUAGUAUUGUAAACUUCUUUUGUCGGGGAACAAAGGCGGAGACGCGUCUCCGGAUGAGUGUACCCGAAGAAAAAGCAUCGGCUAACUCCGUGCCAGCCGCCGCGGUAAUACGGAGGAUGCGAGCGUUAUCCGGAUUUAUUGGGUUUAAAGGGUGCGUAGGCGGAUCGUUAAGUCAGUGGUCAAAUUGAGGGGCUCAACCCCUUCCCGCCAUUGAAACUGGCGUUCUUGAGUGGAAGAGAAGUAUGCGGAAUGCGUGGUGUAGCGGUGAAAUGCAUAGAUAUCACGCAGAACCCCGAUUGCGAAGGCAGCAUGCCGGCUUCCGACUGACGCUGAAGCACGAAAGCGUGGGGAUCGAACAGGAUUAGAUACCCCAGUAGUC